This 567-nucleotide long non-coding RNA is filed under the name Solanum tuberosum (potato). RNAcentral's name for it is "long non-coding RNA (STUB_LNC003050)". Lineage: Eukaryota; Viridiplantae; Streptophyta; Magnoliopsida; Solanales; Solanaceae. The record is from RNAcentral.
AACUACAAGGAGUUGAAAUUUAAAGUCUUCUUGUCUUUGAAGAAUAUAACCAAGACUCCCAAUAAAAUCUAUAAAACCAUCGAAUUAGGCUCAAAUUCUCAAUUAAUGUAUUGCUUAGCUCUUUUCUAUUUUUGGUGUAAACAAAGAUAUAUUAACUAGGACAGAAGACAUCUUUAAUGUGCUAGAUUGUUUAUAGGCAGCAGUUUAGAUUAAGACUGUUUUAUUCUGUAAGUUGUACUCCCUCUGUCCCAAUUUAUGUGACUUACUUUCCUUUUUGGUCAGUCCCAAAAAGAAUGACACAUUUCUAUAUUAAGUAAUAAUUUAACUAUAAAAUGUUUAUUUUACCCUUAAUGAAAUGAUUUACAGCCACACAAAUUUCUAUCAUUCAUUUUGGACCACAAGUUUUAAAAGUCUUCCUUUCUUUCUUAAACUUCGUGCCGAGUCAAAGUACCUCACAUAAAUUGGGACGGAGGGAGUAAUACUUUUGAAGGGGAACUGCACAUUUUUUGUAGUGCACCUGUGUAUAUAUAGACUAAAGUUACCAGUUUCAAAAAAAAUAAAAAUCAA